Non-coding RNA from Podarcis lilfordi (Lilford's wall lizard), 2268 nucleotides. The record is from the annotation of a GenBank genome assembly. NCBI's taxonomy places the organism in Eukaryota, Metazoa, Chordata, Lepidosauria, Squamata, Lacertidae.
UUUGUCCGAUGAAAUAAACUCCUGACCAAGUCUUUUAUUUAUCAGUAAUUUCCUGUGUAAUCUUGUUAUAUGUGUUUCUUGUAGGCAAAUCAAGUCCAAUUGUUCCUUUUUUAAUAAAUGAAACACAGAUUUCCUUUUCUGAGGGGAGUUGAGACCAUUACAAUUCCAACUUAAUAGUUGCAGGGCCAUGAUGUAAUUAUUUUGGUUUUCCUCCAACGGCACCCAGUGCCUCUUCCUGUUCCGUCGGUGGUAUCACGUUUUUCAGGCGGUCUUUUAGUUCCAGAGAUAGUCUUGGUGUGUCUAAAGUUUCUCUUACAAUUGCUCUUAACUCUCCUGUAACUUUCUUCUGUAGGUCUUCUCCGUGGUCUCUCCAAAAUUUGUCUUUGUCGUCUUCCGAUCUUAUUUUUAUCUUCUUUCCUUUAUAACUAAAGGAUAGGCCUUGAGGAAAUUCCCACCUAAAGUUAAUUCCGUUACUUCUCAACAGGGUAACCAGGUCUUUGUGGUUAAACCUGAGAUCCAGAAGAUGUUUCGGAAUAUCCUUAAAUAUCUCCACUUUUGACUGUUGUAUUUCCAGUGUCUUCUGGAAAUGCAAACUCAAAAUCUUAUCUCUCUCUUCUUUUGUUCGGAGGGUGAUCAAACAAUCUCUCACCCUCUUUCCCCCUCCUUUUCCAAGUCUAAAAGCAUUCACUAUUUUAAAACUGUCUUUCCCCAAAUCCGGAUUCCAAAAAUCUAGGAAUUCCUGCGUAAGAAAUUCAACUAAGUUGUCUUUCUCCACUUCAGGUACGGCUCUGUGCCUUAAGUACACUUGUUUCUCCUUCAACUUGAUCAUAGACAGGAUUGACUUAUGGUCUUCAAGUUGUUUAUGUAGCGGUGGUAUCUUCUCUUGAACCUCUGCAACCGUAGCUGUAGCAAUUUCUUUAGCCUCUUCGGCAAUCUUACGUGUCGAAGCAGAUUCCUGUAAUAAUUUCUGAAUAGUUUCUGUAUUAGUAUUUACUUUCUGUCCCAAAUUAUUGAUACUUGCCGUAUUUUGGUUAAUACUUGUCGUAUUUUGAUCAAUCUUAUCCGAUGCCUCUGCUACUUGUUUACUUAUUCUAUCCAAAGAUUCAUUAAUUUUAGCCAGUGCCUGAGCCAGGGCAUCGUCACUUGCCAUACCAUUAGUUUUAGGUUGUGCCGAUGAGGUUGCUAUUGGAACUCCAGGGGGGCCAGAUGUCGAAGCUCUCCUUUGCAAUCCACCGUCUGUGCGAUAUACUCUGCCAGACCUUGUUGCUUGUAACAAGUCUAUCUUCUCUUUCCCAUCUGCCAUACCCCUCUAGAUAAAACUCAAGGUCAGUCACACAGUCAGAGUCAAAGUUGUUUUGAAAUGGAAAGUUCCAGGAAAACAGUGUGAGAAAUUUCCUCAGGCCAGCUGCAGUUGUAACUAGUUCCAAAUUCCACUAGGGGACACUGUAACAGUCAUAAAGUUCUUAAAGUAAUUUCUUCUCCCUUUAGUCCCCCAGUUCACCAGAAAGAUAACAAUCUAUCUUAGGCAGUUACUUUAGGACCAGGAGAUACCUAUCAGCAAUAUUGUAUCCAAAUUGUAUUUCAGAUGCAGAGCUAGCUGUCAAAAUACGUUCAAAGACAGUACAUUCUCUUAGGCUUUUUACUGGCACUGGGAACCCGUUCCAGGGGUUUUGAGCGGUGGUUUUUAUCUCCUCUUUCUCACUUCUUCUUAGGGAAAUAACGUUCAAAACUUCCCCCCUCCUCCCCCAAAUUGAGGGGGGGGGAAUCCCGGUUAGAUGAUCGGAUUGUAAUCCUUUUGCGCGUCUUUUAAAGCUUCCGCUUUCAAGUUCAAUGCUUUGUUCUAUCUACAAGAGCGGGAGGCAGACUUCCCUUUUAUACCUCUCCGCUUCGGCCAAUUACUUCCAAUUUUUGUACAGUUCCUUUAAUUACGUAGUAAUCCUACUCACGGAUCGUUAUUUUCGAAGCCAAAUUGUCAAGGAAGAAAGGCAGCGCUCUCCGGCAACAGCUACGCGGCUUCACUCCACAGAAGAAGCAGACGACUCACAGCAUAGCGCCACUUCCCGCUCCGUUCCGGAGCCCGUUGCCGGGUUCCUUCACGGAUUGGGGGCGCAGACAGUGCCCGCCGAGUCCCAGGGUCACAGGCUUCACCCGCCUGUGAUUUAAGGGGUCCCCGCUGCGCCGAGCGGUAUCCGACCCUAUUUCUGUGGAGCGGGUUCCCUCUGAAUCAGAGGGAAUCCGCCAUUACCGUUGGCGCCACCUCCGGAAGUC